UGGGAAUAUUGGGGCAAUGGGACGCAAGUCUGACCCAGCAACGCCGCGUGAAGGAAGAAGGCUUUCGGGUUGUAAACUUCUUUUAAGGGGAAGAGUAGAAGACGGUACCCCUUGAAUAAGCCACGGCUAACUACGUGCCAGCAGCCGCGGUAAUACGUAGGUGGCAAGCGUUGUCCGGAAUUACUGGGUGUAAAGGGAGAGUAGGCGGGAUUGCAAGUCCGUUGUUAAAUCUAUCGGCUUAACCGGUAGCUGCGGCGGAAACUGUAGUUCUUGAGUGAAGUAGAGGCAGGCGGAAUUCCUAGUGUAGCGGUGAAAUGCGUAGAUAUUAGGAGGAACACCAGUGGCGAAGGCGGCCUGCUGGGCUUUAACUGACGCUGAGGCUCG
RNAcentral lists this ribosomal RNA (384 nucleotides) under uncultured Oscillibacter sp. Its description in RNAcentral is "bacterial SSU rRNA". It matches the Rfam family "Bacterial small subunit ribosomal RNA", at positions 356 to 755 of the family's 1533-position model. The record is from RNAcentral. Lineage: Bacteria; Bacillati; Bacillota; Clostridia; Eubacteriales; Oscillospiraceae.